UUGAACGCUGGCGGCAGGCCUAACACAUGCAAGUCGAGCGGUAGAGAGAAGCUUGCUUCUCUUGAGAGCGGCGGACGGGUGAGUAAUGCCUAGGAAUCUGCCUGGUAGUGGGGGAUAACGUUCGGAAACGGACGCUAAUACCGCAUACGUCCUACGGGAGAAAGCAGGGGACCUUCGGGCCUUGCGCUAUCAGAUGAGCCUAGGUCGGAUUAGCUAGUUGGUGAGGUAAUGGCUCACCAAGGCGACGAUCCGUAACUGGUCUGAGAGGAUGAUCAGUCACACUGGAACUGAGACACGGUCCAGACUCCUACGGGAGGCAGCAGUGGGGAAUAUUGGACAAUGGGCGAAAGCCUGAUCCAGCCAUGCCGCGUGUGUGAAGAAGGUCUUCGGAUUGUAAAGCACUUUAAGUUGGGAGGAAGGGCAGUUACCUAAUACGUGAUUGUUUUGACGUUACCGACAGAAUAAGCA
Molecule: ribosomal RNA, 468 nt
Filed under: Pseudomonas sp. SC40
Lineage: Bacteria; Pseudomonadati; Pseudomonadota; Gammaproteobacteria; Pseudomonadales; Pseudomonadaceae
Description: bacterial SSU rRNA
Rfam family: Bacterial small subunit ribosomal RNA
Source: RNAcentral